Molecule: RNA transcript, 518 nt
Organism: Microtus ochrogaster (prairie vole)
Lineage: Eukaryota; Metazoa; Chordata; Mammalia; Rodentia; Cricetidae
Gene: Ost4
Gene name: oligosaccharyltransferase complex subunit 4, non-catalytic
Exons: 3
Source: RefSeq, a predicted model, not a curated record
GAGUCCGCGGGGUAGAGAAGCCGGAAAUUCCUUGCCGUUCUCCUCCCCCACCCCCCGACUAGCGCUACGAAGUUCCGGCUCAGGUCUUCUACCUCGAGCUGUACAGCGAGCGGUAGCAUCGGAGCUGAGUGGAGCUGGUCAGGAUGAUCACGGACGUGCAGCUCGCCAUCUUCGCCAACAUGUUGGGCGUGUCGCUUUUCUUGCUUGUGGUUCUCUAUCACUACGUGGCAGUCAACAAUCCCAAGAAGCAGGAAUGAAAGUAGCGCUUUCUCCGCCACAGGGUUCCAGGACAUAGUCUGAGGCAAGAUGGAGGGUGUGCGGGGCCUUCACACUUCACUGCAUCCCUCCUACCCAUCACAGCAUAAAAAGCAACUACACCUGGAUUUUUCCAAACAACUUUUAUUUCCUCAAAGUCUUCCUUAACUCUAUGGAACAAGAAGCUGCCACUGAAUAGGGCCCAGUAUAGGGGCUGCUUUCUUUUCUAUUCCCUCCCCCCAAUACAAAAAUAUAAAUAUAUA